This 169-nucleotide ribosomal RNA is filed under the name uncultured bacterium. RNAcentral describes it as "partial 16S ribosomal RNA". It matches the Rfam family "Bacterial small subunit ribosomal RNA", at positions 338 to 524 of the family's 1533-position model. The record is from RNAcentral.
CCUACGGGAGGCAGCAGUGGGGAAUAUUGGACAAUGGGCGCAAGCCUGAUCCAGCCAUGCCGCGUGAGUGAUGAAGGCCUUAGGGUUGUAAAGCUCUUUUAUCCGGGACGAUAAUGACGGUACCGGAAGAAUAAGCCCCGGCUAACUUCGUGCCAGCAGCCGCGGUAAU